CCUACGGGGGGCAGCAGUGGGGAAUAUUGGACAAUGGGGGGAACCCUGAUCCAGCCAUGCCGCGUGUGUGAAGAAGGCCCUCGGGUUGUAAAGCACUUUCAGUGAGGAAGAACGCCUGGUGGUUAAUACCCAUCAGGAAAGACAUCACUCACAGAAGAAGCACCGGCUAACUCCGUGCCAGCAGCCGCGGUAAUACGGAGGGUGCGAGCGUUAAUCGGAAUUACUGGGCGUAAAGCGCGCGUAGGUGGCUUGAUAAGCCGGUUGUGAAAGCCCCGGGCUCAACCUGGGAACGGCAUCCGGAACUGUCAAGCUAGAGUGCAGGAGAGGAAGGUAGAAUUCCCGGUGUAGCGGUGAAAUGCGUAGAGAGCGGGAGGAAUACCAGUGGCGAAGGCGGCCUUCUGGACUGACACUGACACUGAGGUGCGAAAGCGUGGGUAGCAAACAGGAUUAGAUACCCCAGUAGUC
This 465-nucleotide ribosomal RNA is filed under the name Vreelandella stevensii. RNAcentral's name for it is "partial 16S ribosomal RNA". It matches the Rfam family "Bacterial small subunit ribosomal RNA", at positions 338 to 795 of the family's 1533-position model. The record is from RNAcentral. Lineage: Bacteria; Pseudomonadati; Pseudomonadota; Gammaproteobacteria; Oceanospirillales; Halomonadaceae.